UUGGAGGGCAAGUCUGGUGCCAGCAGCCGCGGUAAUUCCAGCUCCAAUAGCGUAUAUUAAAGUUGUUGCAGUUAAAAAGCUCGUAGUUGAAUUUCGGGGUCAGUAGGUGGGUCAUGCCACUGGUAUGUACUGGUCUCACUGAUUCCUCCUUCCUGAUGAGCCGUAAUGCCAUUAAUUUGGUGUUGCGAGGAAUCUGGACUGUUACUUUGAAAAAAUUAGAGUGUUUAAAGCAAGCUAACGCUUGAGUACAUUAGCAUGGAAUAAUGAAAUAGGACGUUCGAUCCUAUUUUGUUGGUUUCUAGGAUUGACGUAAUGAUUAAUAGGGAUAGUUGGGGGCAUUAGUAUUCAAUUGUCAGAGGUGAAAUUCUUGGAUUUAUUGAAGACUAACUACUGCGAAAGCAUUUGCCAAGGAUGUUUUCAUUAAUCAAGAACGAAAGUUAGGGGAUCGAAGACGAUCAGAUACCGUCGUAGUCUUAACCAUAAACUAUGCCGACUAGGGAUCGGAUGAUGUUAAUUUUUUAAUGACUCAUUCGGCGCCUUACGGGAAACCAAAGUGUUUGGGUUC
RNAcentral lists this ribosomal RNA (565 nucleotides) under uncultured Glomeromycotina. RNAcentral describes it as "SSU rRNA". It matches the Rfam family "Eukaryotic small subunit ribosomal RNA", at positions 548 to 1114 of the family's 1831-position model. The record is from RNAcentral. Lineage: Eukaryota; Fungi; Glomeromycota.